UGAAUGCUUAUUUGUGGUCCUUUUUAGGAUUGUCAAACCCAAAACAGAUCCACCCACUGAGGCGGCGGAGAAAAAGCGGUUCGGCGGGUGCAGCACUCAGGAAAUGAGGUGGCAAGCUAGACACACACCUACUUUGAGACAGGAAUUGUGUUGAAGAACUUCAUCACCCACCUGGUAUCCGCCAAGACAUAGCCCUUAGUGGAAUGAACUAUGGUCUCCUAAAGGCGGUUUCGUUUCAUGGGUCUGUGGAUCUGAGAGAAACAGGCGAUUGGCCCUCUCCCACGCAAGGAGAAGCAGCAAUGGACUGGGGCCUGCACCUGGGCAGGUGGGGCGUGUCUGCCUCCUCUUUCCCUCACAGACCAACCUUUGGCUUCAGUCACUUUCCAAGCCCAACCGACUGAGGCUGGAUCCCUAGGGACAGAGGAAGGGCAUUGAUUGGAAAUGAAUUGAAAGAGAGAGCUAAUCCUCUUCUCAUCUUUUCCAAGCCUUUUCCUUCUCCUGCUGGUCCAUUUUAGAGCCACGUGGUCACACGUUGGCAUCCCCACCUGAGGGCAGGGAGAGGAAAUGAGAGAUGAAACAAAACCACAGCUGUGCUAUUUAUAAGGCCUCAGGUUUAAAAAAAAAUGAUGGAUAAAGGUUGGAACU
RNAcentral lists this long non-coding RNA (645 nucleotides) under Camelus dromedarius (Arabian camel). Its description in RNAcentral is "lncRNA (ENSCDRG00005000896.1)". Lineage: Eukaryota; Metazoa; Chordata; Mammalia; Artiodactyla; Camelidae. The record is from RNAcentral.